This 390-nucleotide ribosomal RNA is filed under the name uncultured bacterium. RNAcentral's name for it is "bacterial SSU rRNA". It matches the Rfam family "Bacterial small subunit ribosomal RNA", at positions 28 to 419 of the family's 1533-position model. The record is from RNAcentral.
GACGAACGCUGGCGGCGUGCUUAACACAUGCAAGUCGAGCGGUAAGGCCCUUUCGGGGGUACACGAGCGGCGAACGGGUGAGUAACACGUGGGUGACCUGCCCUCAGCUCUGGGAUAAGCCUGGGAAACCGGGUCUAAUACCGGAUAUGACUCCAUGACGCAUGUUGUGGGGUGGAAAGCCUUGUGCGGCUGAGGAUGGGCCCGCGGCCUAUCAGCUUGUUGGUGGGGUGAUGGCCUACCAAGGCGACGACGGGUAGCCGGCCUGAGAGGGCGACCGGCCACACUGGGACUGAGACACGGCCCAGACUCCUACGGGAGGCAGCAGUGGGGAAUCUUGCGCAAUGGGCGAAAGCCUGACGCAGCGACGCCGCGUGGAGGAUGAAGUCCCUU